This 207-nucleotide ribosomal RNA is filed under the name uncultured bacterium. RNAcentral describes it as "partial 16S ribosomal RNA". It matches the Rfam family "Bacterial small subunit ribosomal RNA", at positions 568 to 774 of the family's 1533-position model. The record is from RNAcentral.
CGCGUAGGCGGUUAAUUUAGUUUGUUGUGAAAGUCUUGGGCUUAACCUGAGGAUUGCAAUGAAUACUGGUUGACUGGAGUCUGGAAGGGGAGAAUGGAAUUGCGUGUGGAGAGGUAAAAUUCGUAGAUAUACGCAGGAACACCGGCGGUGAAGACGAUUCUCUGGGACAAGACUGACGCUGAGGCGCGAAAGCGUGGGGAGCAAACA